AUACGGGGGGUGCAAGCGGUAAUCGGAAUUACUGGGCGUAAAGCGCGCGUAGGCGGUUUGCUCAGUCGGAUGUGAAAGCCCAGGGCUCAACCUUGGAACUGCAUACGAUACUGGCAAACUAGAGUGUGAGAGAGGAUAGUGGAAUUUCCGGUGUAGCGGUGAAAUGCGUAGAUAUCGGAAGGAACAUCAGUGGCGAAGGCGACUGUCUGGCUCAACACUGACGCUGAGGUGCGAAAGCGUGGGUAGCGAACAGGAUUAGAAACCCUAGUAGUCC
Molecule: ribosomal RNA, 274 nt
Filed under: uncultured bacterium
Lineage: Bacteria
Description: partial 16S ribosomal RNA
Rfam family: Bacterial small subunit ribosomal RNA
Source: RNAcentral